GGAUGAACGCUAGCUACAGGCUUAACACAUGCAAGUCGAGGGGAAACGGCAUUGAGUGCUUGCACUCUUUGGACGUCGACCGGCGCACGGGUGAGUAACGCGUAUCCAACCUUCCCAUUACUGUGGGAUAACCUGCCGAAAGGCAGACUAAUACCGCAUAGUCUUCGAUGACGGCAUCAGAUUUGAAGUAAAGAUUUAUCGGUAAUGGAUGGGGAUGCGUCUGAUUAGCUUGUUGGCGGGGUAACGGCCCACCAAGGCUACGAUCAGUAGAGGUUCUGAGAGGAAGGUCCCCCACAUUGGAACUGAGACACGGUCCAAACUCCUACGGGAGGCAGCAGUGAGGAAUAUUGGUCAAUGGACGGAAGUCUGAACCAGCCAAGUAGCGUGCAGGAUGACGGCCCUAUGGGUUGUAAACUGCUUUUGUAUGGGGAUAAAGUUAGGGACGUGUCCCUAUUUGCAGGUACCAUACGAAUAAGGACCGGCUAAUUCCGUGCCAGCAGCCGCGGUAAUACGGAAGGUCCAGGCGUUAUCCGGAUUUAUUGGGUUUAAAGGGAGCGUAGGCUGGAGAUUAAGUGUGUUGUGAAAUGUAGACGCUCAACGUCUGAAUUGCAGCGCAUACUGGUUUCCUUGAGUACGCACAACGUUGGCGGAAUUCGUCGUGUAGCGGUGAAAUGCUUAGAUAUGACGAAGAACUCCGAUUGCGAAGGCAGCUGACGGGAGCGCAACUGACGCUUAAGCUCGAAGGUGCGGGUAUCAAA
This 758-nucleotide ribosomal RNA is filed under the name uncultured Bacteroidales bacterium. RNAcentral's name for it is "bacterial SSU rRNA". It matches the Rfam family "Bacterial small subunit ribosomal RNA", at positions 27 to 772 of the family's 1533-position model. Lineage: Bacteria; Pseudomonadati; Bacteroidota; Bacteroidia; Bacteroidales. The record is from RNAcentral.